UUAUAAGCCCUGGUGAAUGUCGGCCUUAACUAUAAGGGUCCUAAGGUAGCGCAAUUCCUUGUCAGGUAAGUUCUGACGCGUUGAAUAGUGUAACGACUGGGCAACUGUCUCGGAGAACAGCUCGGUGAAAAUACAGUACCGGUGAAGAUGCCGGUUACCUGCAGCUAGACGAAAAGACCCCGGAAGCUUCACUACAACUUGGUAUUGACUGCAUUUUUUUGAUGCGUAGCGUAGAGAGUAGGAUUUGAAGUCGUGAUUUCGGUUGCGAUGGAUCCGCCGAUGAAACACUCUUCUUUAAAAAUAUGCAUUCUAACCUGUUCGGUAAAAACGAGCGGGAACAGUACUUGGUAGGUAGUUUUGGUGGGGCGCUAUCCUUCUAAAAAGUAACGAAGGAGUCUAUUAAGGUUGGCUAGGCGCGAAUGGAAACCGUGCCGAUAGUGCAAUAGCAUAAGCCAGCUUGACUGCGAGGAGGACAUUCCGAGCAGGCGCGAAAGCGGAGUAUAGUGAACCGAUGGUACGCGUUAGACGCGGCCAGAGAUUAUCGGACAAAAGCUACUCCGGGGAUAACAGGCUAGUUCCGCCUAAGAGUCCAUAUCGACGGCGGAGUUCGGCACCUUAACAUAUCGGGGUGCGAUAUUAGUAAUAAUAUUAGCCGUUUCAAUAAAACCAGUUAAGAUAGAACUGGAUGUUGAAAUUAAAUAAAAUCAUGGCUUAUAACGGUGGACUCCAUAUUUUUAAUUUAAAUAUGGACAAUACCGUGGGAAGUUUAACCAAUUGAAAGAGAUCAAAUUUUACUGUGUUGGUUAUAACCCCGUAGAGACUUGUUCCUAAGAAAUUAAAUAUUUCAAAGGACGGAGUUGUUUUCUGAGAGCCCGCCUGUUAAGGCGAGGUUCGCCAGAGGCGACUAAAACGCCAUCUCCUUUAAGAUCUUAAAGGAAGAAGAUAUAGUCCGAUCCUGCGAGUAAUCGCAGACAAAUACGACAGCGAUGUCGGCUUAUCACAUCCCGGGGCUGGAGAAGGUCCCAAGGGUAUGGCUGUUCGCCAUUUAAAGUGCUACAUGAGCUGGGUUCAGACCGUCGCGAGACAGGUUGGUCUCCUAUCUGCUGCAGGCGUUGAUUCUUGAGGAGAGUUCUCACUAGUACGAGAGGACCGUGAGGAACUGACCUCUGGUGUAUCUGCUCUACCGCCAGGUGGAACGCAGAGUAGCUAUGUCGGGUACAGAUAACCGCUGAAAGCAUCUAAGCGGGAAACUGCCUCCAAGAUUAGGAAUCGUUUAGGCUCGUAAUAGACUAUUACGUUGAUAGGCUUUAGGUGUAAGCACAGUAAUGUGUUCAGCCGUGAAGUACUAAUCCGCCGAUCUUGUUGGGAAA
RNAcentral lists this ribosomal RNA (1370 nucleotides) under Oligoflexia bacterium. RNAcentral's name for it is "partial 23S ribosomal RNA". It matches the Rfam family "Bacterial large subunit ribosomal RNA", at positions 1911 to 2925 of the family's 2925-position model. The record is from RNAcentral. Lineage: Bacteria; Pseudomonadati; Bdellovibrionota; Oligoflexia.